UGGGGAAUUUUGGACAAUGGGCGAAAGCCUGAUCCAGCAAUGCCGCGUGUGUGAAGAAGGCCUUCGGGUUGUAAAGCACUUUUGUCCGGAAAGAAAUCCUUGGCUCUAAUACAGUCGGGGGAUGACGGUACCGGAAGAAUAAGCACCGGCUAACUACGUGCCAGCAGCCGCGGUAAUACGUAGGGUGCAAGCGUUAAUCGGAAUUACUGGGCGUAAAGCGUGCGCAGGCGGUUUGCUAAGACCGAUGUGAAAUCCCCGGGCUCAACCUGGGAACUGCAUUGGUGACUGGCAGGCUAGAGUAUGGCAGAGGGGGGUAGAAUUCCACGUGUAGCAGUGAAAUGCGUAGAGAUGUGGAGGAAUACCGAUGGCGAAGGCAGCCCCCUGGGCCAAUACUGACGCUCAUGCACGAAAGCGUGGGGAGCAAACAGGAUUAGAUACCCUGGUAGUCCACGCCUAACC
RNAcentral lists this ribosomal RNA (459 nucleotides) under uncultured bacterium. RNAcentral describes it as "partial 16S ribosomal RNA". It matches the Rfam family "Bacterial small subunit ribosomal RNA", at positions 355 to 807 of the family's 1533-position model. The record is from RNAcentral.